UUUUUUUUUUUUUUUUUUAGAAUUAGAUGACAAGCUCUACUUCUGUUAUUAGUUGUUUGAUUUGGGGAAACUCAUUCAGCCUCUCUGGGCCUAGUUUUCCCAUGAAUUUUAAAUUAACGGGCUUUUCUUCAGGCUUCCUACUAGCUUUGUUACUGAAUCAAACUUGGGUCCGCUUGCCUGCUGCAAGUAAGGCCAAUUUACUGACAUCAGAAUGCGAUAAAGGAAAGUACAGCGUUUACUACAGGGCUCAGAAAGGAGUAUGGGUGGCUAUGCUCAAAAGACCUGAACUCCUCUGUGGUUUUCAAGGGAGUGUUUUUAAAAGCAACACUUGAGGAGUUCCUACUGUGGCACAGAAGAAAUUAAUCUAAGUAGUAUUUAUGAGGAUGUGGGUUUGAUCUCUGGCCUUGCUCAUGGGUUAAGGAUCCGGCGUUGCCGUGAGCUGUGCUAUAGGUAGCAGAUGCCGCUUAGAUCCCACGUUCCUGUGGCUCUGGCGUUGGCCAACACCUUCAGCUUCGAUUCAGCCCCUAGCCUGGGAACCUCCAUAUGCCUUAGGUGUGGCCCUAAAAGAAAGGAAAAAUACCAAAAAAAAAAAAAAAACCCACAAAUUUUUUAAACACAUUUUGUGCUUGAAAUUUGUCUCUUUGAACAUCUAUUACCCCAAAAAUUUUAGAAAUUGCACUUUUGAAAUUUCUUGAGGUGAAAAUUUUGGAGUUACCUAAAACAAAGUCAUUGACCUUAUUUUAUAGUCUUGCAAAACUGAGCCAUAAAAGUAUCUGAAUUACGCCUUCAAAUGUUAGAAGAAAAUCUUAUUAAAGAUGUUUGAGAGGAUGUAAAAUACUUGAGAGUAGAGUCCAUAUUUACUUUUUCUUUGUAUUUUUAUAGCAAGAUUUCCCAAAGUUUCUAAGAAUCCCCUGCAGUGAGUACUAAAUUGUGAUGCACUUAUUUCUAGCCUCACUAAAUAAAAAUUUCCAAGAGAUUUUUCUCACAAAAAUGAUUCUAAUGGUUAGGAACAUUUAAGUAAAUUAUUCUACAUUUCACAUAAUGUUCAGUAUAGAGAAGUUGGUCAACUGUUGACCCAACAAACGAGAGAAGAAUGAAUGACCAAAAUCUAUCAUGUAAGUGGUAAAUUACCACUUAUGCAACUACAAAUAGAAUGCGUUAAUUUCAGAAUCUAAAAUUUAGAUUUUUUUGUGCCACCAUCUCAUAUCUGUAUCCAGGUUAAAGGUCAUAAAAGAGCCCUUUCCCGCCAUCUGCCUUUAGGUUCCACAAGGCCAAGAUCUGUUAGACACUAUUAUAUCCUCAGGGCCUAAAAUAGCAAUUAAUGCCUCUAUAUAUGACAUGUAAGUAUUGGAUGAUUUUAAUUUAAUUGCAGUGCAGUGCUUAUAUGACAAUCGGGCUAGUUUAAUGGUAAAUAAUGAUUUUGCCAGUCACCUGAAAUGCCUCUACCCAAGGUUUUCUUCAACUCAGUCUAACUGGGUUUAAUUUCCAGGUCCCCAGAUUUAACUGUACAUUUCUUUUGAAGAAAAACUCUGAUCCUAGAUCAUUGAAAUUUUUUGACCAAAUACAUCUCUAAGCAAUUAUCAAUCAUCUGGACAUGCCUCUUGGGAGUUUAUGUGCUGCAGUGUCCUUUAGGGGGUUAUGAAAAUGUGUCUGUCAUAGUAUCCUAAGCUUUCUGUUCCCAUGGAGAGAUUUUAUUUCAUUCUCCUUGUUUAAAACUGUAUUCUGGUCAUCUGCUUUCCAAGCAAAUUUUUCCCCUUUCUUCCUUCUUCUUGCCUUCUCCUUUUUUUUCUUCCCUCUUUUUUCUUUCUUUCCUAGUCUCUCCUUCUCUCCCUCUACUCUUUCUCCUCAUCCCCCUGCAAGUUUUUCCCCUUCUCUUUUUUUCUUCUUCCAGUUUCCCCCUUCUUCCUCUUCCAAAGCCAUGGGGUACAUAAUAGAUAAAAGGAAACCAUUCUGUUUCGAAUUAUCCAUUUGCCUAACCUGUGGGCAUGAAGAUCAAAGGCACUAGAAAGAUUUGCUGGACUCUGUAGGGAGGCUGUGCCCACUUACUGGGUCUUUUCCUACAAAUUUUCUUUGAAAGUCCCUUGCAGAAAGGGAAAUUUUUGGAGUUGGAGGGAUAAGAGUAAGCAGUGGAAAUUUAACCACAAUGUGCUGGAGCACUGGGUACAAAUUGAGUCAGGGACACUAUUGACAAAGGGAGAGAGGCAGAACAAAGAAGGGGAAAACUGCCAAUGCCUGAGAGAAAGGGAAAUUUAAGAGCAUAGUAGGGUGCUUGAGGAGAGAGUAGAAAGUAUAGUGUUCUUAAGGAACUUUGAUUUAAAAAAAAACAAAAAACAAAACCAAGGUUUAGCAAAAUAGAAUCUGUAGGUAAAACACUGAAUGCAACAGAAGCAACAUUAAUGUAGAUUUUAAAACUAACACCAUUGAUUUGGAUCUGAUUGAAGUAAAGAGCUAGGAAAUAUGUACACAAUAGAAACUUUAAAAAGAGUCUAAAAAGAGGUAUUUAGUGGCCAAAUAUGUAAUCAAAGCUAGAUGUUUACUUCCCACUAAGUGUGUACAGAAUCAUUCUAGCAGAAAAAGUAAAGCAUGUCUUUUCAUGAGAAGGUAGGAAAAAAAAUUUUUUUCAGGAAAAGACUAUGGAUAAAUUCAUUGUAUUCCUAAGGAAGAGAGUGGUCUCAGCCCAUUUUAACUCUGUUCACCUACUAAAUUCACAACCUUGAGAAAACAGCCAAAUCUCAUUUUCUAUAAUAUAAAGGCUAUCUUACCUUAAUUUUGGAACUGUUGGAAGAAAUAAGUGAGCUGGAGUUCCCGUCGUGGCUCAGUGGUUAACAAAUCCGACUGGGAACCAUGGGGUUGCAGGUUUGAUCCCUCGCCUUGCUCAGUGGGUUAAGGAUCUGGCAUUGCCAUGAGCUGUGGUGUAGGCCAGCGGCUACAGCUCCGAUUAGAUCCCUAGCCUGGGAACCUCCAUAUGCCGUGGGAGUGGCCCAAAAAAUGGCAAAAAGACAAAAAAAAAAAAAAGUGAGUUGAUAUUUGCCUAUAGGUGAUAAUAUUUUUAUAUAUUAGUGAUGUAUUUUCCUUCUCAGAGAUAACUUAGCACAACAUCAAAACCAAAAAGGAUAAUUCUUGUUUUUUGGGCACCAGAGAUUUGAAGGACUAUGUGCUGAAUCUGAUUUUUCUGCACAGAGGCUAAAGUAUACCUUGGGGUAGGAGAAAAAUGGGCAAGUUAGAAAGUGAAGUACUAAUGUGGAUAAGAAAGUAAUUCCUGGAGUUUCCGUGGUGGCUAAGUGGUAGUGAACCCAACUAGUAUCCAUGAGGAUGUGGGUUCGAUCCCUGGCCUUGCUCAGAGGGUUGAGGACCUGGUGUUGCUGUGAGCUAUGGUAUGGCUCAGAUCCCACAUGGCUGUGGCUGUGGCGUAGGUGAGCAGCUGUAGCUGCAGUAUGACCCCUAGCCUGGGAACUUCCAUAUGCUGUGGAUGCAGCUCUAAGAAGAAUGAAUGAAUGAAUAAAUAAAUAAAUAAAUAGGUAAGUAAAUAAAUAAAUUCUGAUAAUUAUUUAGGAAGGAGCUCAUGCCUCCUUCCUCAAGACAGUCCCCCCAGAUAUAUUUAGUGAUCUCAGUUUAGAGGGGACAUCAACAUGGUGUGAGAAAGACAGGUGGUUGCAGAAGUGGUUGCAUGCUAUUUCUAGACAGAGGACUCUGAGGCUAGCAAACAUCCAGCCCUGCCUGGGGAGCAGCUGACUCUUUUUCAGUGUAAUCAGCAUUGAAGCUGGGUAUUGGUGGAACUGGAUCUGGAGAGCUGUUUCAGUCCAUGGGGAGGAUGAAAGAGCGGGCCUCAGAGAAUCAGGUAGGGUGGAGAAGGUUGGUUAGAAGGGGUGAAUAUGAUUACAGUAGAAUGAGACAAUGAACAGCUCAGGGGAGGUCAGCCUAGGUGGGAAAUGGCUGGGGACAAAGUGUACUCUCUCUUAAAAGCUGGAUAGUACAUGAAUAUCCCCAAUUCCCGUCCCCACCCCUGUAGCAGUGUAACUUUGAAAGAUAAGGGAGAGGAAGAAAAUUCUGAACGGCCUUAGUUCAUUCAGAAAUUGGGAUUCCCUCUUUGCUGCCAGUGGAGUGAGUUUUGAAAUAGAAAUUCAGUCAUGGAAAAAAUGAAGUUCCAUCUUUGAUUCACUAAAUGUGUAGUUAGUGAAACUUGAACUUUUUAUACUCAUCAAGGAUUAAGCCCCAUGACUGGCACAGAAUUAGAUCUGUAAAAAGACAGCUGGGGUUGCUAUCAAGAAGGAGAACUCAUAGAGAUAGAAUUUAAGUUUAAGAAAUAAAACUGAGGGAGUUCCUGUUGUGGUGCAGUGGAAAUGAAUCCGACUAGAAUCUGUGAGGGUGUGGGUUCGAUCCAUGGCCUUACUCAGUGGGUCGGGGGUUCUGGCAUUGCGAGGACGCUGAGGUGGCUUGGAUCCCACGUUGCUGUGGCUGUGGCAUAGCCCAGCAGCGAUUGAUCCCUAGCCUGGGAACUUCCAUAUGCUGCAGGUAUGGACCUAAAAAGCAAAAAAACAAAAACACAAACAAACAAAAAACACAAACAAACAAAAAAACUGAAAGCUUAUGCUUGGUACAGAGUAGGCUCUCAGUCAAUAUUGAACUUUAUAAGUGAAGAUGGGAGCAAGGUGGCUGAAUUUUAACCUUAUUGUGAUAGGAACAAGACUUCAUCUUUUGUUCCUCACAUAGCAGAGUGUUGGACUCUUUUUCUUUGUAUACAGUUGUUAAAACUAUAUAAAACAUAUAUAGUUAUAUGAUAUUUCUCCAGAAAACCUCAGAGAUUUUUUAGCCACACCAGACAAUAGAUUUGUGCAUGAAAAUUGCCUUUCCAGUCCUUUCAGAACGUGCAUAGUAUAAGUGCUAGUUACCAGGCAGUUAAAGAGGGUUUCCAGUUACCCUAGUAUGUCCUGUUACACUGGAUUAUUUUGCAGUAUUGAUAUUUAAAACUGACUUAUUUCUUUGGAGUUCUAAAAUUUUUGAAUAGGUAAUAAUUCCUGGUUCAGAAAUCACAAACCAUUAAAAAAAAAAAGAUGGUAAAAUGACUUUCUACCUCACAUCCUUCAUCCAUUAAAUUUCAAGCAAAUCUUCCUCCACCCCAAAACAGAGGUUAGUUUGUGGAUAUCUGAAUUUUUUUUUUUUUUUUUUUUUUGCUUUUUUGGGCCAAACCUGCAGCAUGUGUAAGUUCCCAGGCUAGGGGCUGCAUAGGAGCUGUAGCUGCCAGCCCACCACAGCCACAGCAAUGCGGGAUCUGAACCAUGUUCAUUACUGCUAAACCAUGUCAGUAACUCCCAGUUUCUGCAUAUUCUUUAUUCAUAUAUAACAAAUACAAACAUAAUGACUUGUGUGUCAUUUUUACACAAAAGAUAGCUUUCAAUACCCAUAUUCUGC
Molecule: long non-coding RNA, 5409 nt
Filed under: Sus scrofa (pig)
Lineage: Eukaryota; Metazoa; Chordata; Mammalia; Artiodactyla; Suidae
Description: lncRNA (ENSSSCG00035078380.1)
Source: RNAcentral